GACGAACGCUGGCGGCGUGCUUAACACAUGCAAGUCGAACGGAAAGGCCCUGCUUUUGUGGGGUGCUCGAGUGGCGAACGGGUGAGUAACACGUGAGUAACCUGCCCCUGACUUUGGGAUAACUUCAGGAAACUGGGGCUAAUACCGGAUAGGAGCUCCUGCUGCAUGGUGGGGGUUGGAAAGUUUCGGCGGUUGGGGAUGGACUCGCGGCUUAUCAGCUUGUUGGUGGGGUAGUGGCUUACCAAGGCUUUGACGGGUAGCCGGCCUGAGAGGGUGACCGGCCACAUUGGGACUGAGAUACGGCCCAGACUCCUACGGGAGGCAGCGGUGGGAAAUAUUGCACAAUGGGCGGAAGCCUGAUGCAGCAACGCCGCGUGCGGGAUGACGGCCUUCGGGUUGUAAACCGCUUUCGCCUGUGACGAAGCGUGAGUGACGGUAAUGGGUAAAGAAGCACCGGCUAACUACGUG
This 468-nucleotide ribosomal RNA is filed under the name uncultured bacterium. Its description in RNAcentral is "partial 16S ribosomal RNA". It matches the Rfam family "Bacterial small subunit ribosomal RNA", at positions 28 to 507 of the family's 1533-position model. The record is from RNAcentral.